UUCGAAGCAACGCGAAGAACCUUACCAGGUCUUGACAUUCCGAUGUCUAUUUCUAGAGAUAGAAGUUACUUCGGUACAUCGGUGACAGGUGGUGCAUGGUUGUCGUCAGCUCGUGUCGUGAGAUGUUGGGUUAAGUCCCGCAACGAGCGCAACCCCUAUUGUUAGUUGCCAUCAUUCAGUUGGGCACUCUAGCGAGACUGCCGGUAAUAAACCGGAGGAAGUGGGGAUGACGUCAAAUCAUCAUGCCCCUUAUGACCUGGGCUACACACGUGCUACAAUGGUUGGUACAACGAGUUGCGAGUCGGUGACGGCGAGCUAAUCUCUUAAAGCCAAUCUCAGUUCGGAUUGUAGGCUGCAACUCGCCUACAUGAAGUCGGAAUCGCUAGUAAUCGCGGAUCAGCACGCCGCGGUGAAUACGUUCCCGGGCCUU
Molecule: ribosomal RNA, 430 nt
Filed under: uncultured Streptococcus sp.
Lineage: Bacteria; Bacillati; Bacillota; Bacilli; Lactobacillales; Streptococcaceae
Description: bacterial SSU rRNA
Rfam family: Bacterial small subunit ribosomal RNA
Source: RNAcentral